Long non-coding RNA from Neltuma alba, 593 nucleotides. RefSeq lists it as uncharacterized. The transcript is spliced from 2 exons. Lineage: Eukaryota; Viridiplantae; Streptophyta; Magnoliopsida; Fabales; Fabaceae. The record is from RefSeq and is a predicted model, not a curated record.
AGCAAAGCAGUUUUGCAGAAUUUCCAGUGUCGGAAUCACUUCAGAAAAUUUUCCUUUAGGAUGGUGGAGCUCUUCAUAUUGGGUUGCACUGGAAUCGUCGCCUUCCUUCACGGCGCCAAUUUCUUCUUCAACUUUCUCUCCCGUCCCCUUCGUUUUCGAUCUCUCAGUUUCUUGGGUUUCGUCGGGUGAUUUAUCUCUUCUUGAAGAAAAUAAGAAAGCAGAAAAUAAAUUGAAUCUGCACGCAAAAGUCAUUCAGAUCUGAGACUCUGUUGUUAGUCGUUGUUGUUGCUCGCAUGGAGCUUCAAGAUUUCUGUGAAUAUCUUAUUGUGUAAAUUUGUAAAUACGACGAUGAACGACAAUAAGGCAAGUAAACUCCUGUAAUUAAUAGAUUCGUUUUAUUUUCAAUUUCAAGCGGCUUUGCAAUUGAAGGAUUGGACUAUAUGCCAAACUGGACUUUUUUUAUUAUUUGGAUAUGGAUUACGAUUUGCCGUGUUCCUUGCUCAUUCAAGAAAUUCCAGGAAAGGACAGGAAACGUAAUUUUUCAAUCAUCACUCAAUCAUUAGUAUUAAUUAUAAACUGGGGAAAUUGGAUUA